GAUGAACGCUGGCGGCGUGCCUAAUACAUGCAAGUCGAGCGAACAGAUAAGGAGCUUGCUCCUUUGACGUUAGCGGCGGACGGGUGAGUAACACGUGGGUAACCUACCUAUAAGACUGGAAUAACUCCGGGAAACCGGAGCUAAUGCCGGAUAACAUUUAGAACCGCAUGGUUCUAAAGUAAAAGAUGGUUUUGCUAUCACUUAUAGAUGGACCCGCGCCGUAUUAGCUAGUUGGUAAGGUAAUGGCUUACCAAGGCAACGAUACGUAGCCGACCUGAGAGGGUGAUCGGCCACACUGGAACUGAGACACGGUCCAGACUCCUACGGGAGGCAGCAGUAGGGAAUCUUCCGCAAUGGGCGAAAGCCUGACGGAGCAACGCCGCGUGAGUGAUGAAGGGUUUCGGCUCGUAAAACUCUGUUAUUAGGGAAGAACAAACGUGUAAGUAACUGUGCACGUCUUGACGGUACCUAAUCAGAAAGCCACGGCUAACUACGUGCCAGCCGCCGCCGUAA
This 513-nucleotide ribosomal RNA is filed under the name uncultured bacterium. RNAcentral describes it as "partial 16S ribosomal RNA". It matches the Rfam family "Bacterial small subunit ribosomal RNA", at positions 28 to 523 of the family's 1533-position model. The record is from RNAcentral.